GGGGAAUAUUGCACAAUGGGCGCAAGCCUGAUGCAGCCAUGCCGCGUGUAUGAAGAAGGCCUUCGGGUUGUAAAGUACUUUCAGCGGGGAGGAAGGUGUUGUGGUUAAUAACCGCAGCAAUUGACGUUACCCGCAGAAGAAGCACCGGCUAACUCCGUGCCAGCAGCCGCGGUAAUACGUAGGUGGCAAGCGUUGUCCGGAAUUAUUGGGCGUAAAGGGCGUGUAGGUGGAUUCUUAAGUCGUGUGUCUAAGUGCGGUGCUCAACACCGUAUGGGCGCAGGAAACUGGGAAUCUUGAGUGCAGGAGAGGAAAGUGGAAUUCCCAGUGUAGCGGUGAAAUGCGUAGAUAUUGGGAGGAACACCAGUGGCGAAGGCGACUUUCUGGACUGUGUCUGACACUGAGGCGCGAAAGCCAGGGGAGCGAACG
RNAcentral lists this ribosomal RNA (426 nucleotides) under uncultured bacterium. Its description in RNAcentral is "bacterial SSU rRNA". It matches the Rfam family "Bacterial small subunit ribosomal RNA", at positions 356 to 774 of the family's 1533-position model. The record is from RNAcentral.